UAGGCGUAAAUGAUGCGAGUUAAGUGUGGGGGCGAUCUACGAGAUGGCCCUGUGCUGUAGGGUAGCCGUUAAACUCGCUGCCUGGGGAGUACGGUCGCAAGGCUGAAACUUAAAGGAAUUGGCGGGGGGAGGCACCACAAGAGGUGGAGGCUGCGGUUCAAUUGGACUCAACGCCGGAAACUCAUCGGGAGCGACAGCAGUAUGAUUGCCAGGUUGAUGACCUUGCUUGACAAGCUGAGAGGAGGUGCAUGGCGUAGUCGUGU
Molecule: ribosomal RNA, 263 nt
Filed under: uncultured archaeon
Lineage: Archaea
Description: partial 16S ribosomal RNA
Rfam family: Archaeal small subunit ribosomal RNA
Source: RNAcentral